Emys orbicularis (European pond turtle) is the source of this 745-nucleotide long non-coding RNA. RefSeq lists it as uncharacterized. The transcript is spliced from 4 exons. The record is from RefSeq and is a predicted model, not a curated record. Lineage: Eukaryota; Metazoa; Chordata; Testudines; Emydidae.
CGGACAUGUUCGGCUUUUUGUGAAUUCCCCCUGGACGGGGAUUUGAGGACCAAAAAGCCGGACAUGUCCGGGGAUAUCUGGACGUAUGGUAACCCUAGUGUCCCCAGUAUAACGCUAGCAGUGGGAAUAGCUCGGCAGAGCGCCCCUGUGUUUUUUCUACUUCCUACCAGUAGAAAAUUGACUCCUAUGAGUUUGCAACAAUUGAAGUUAAAUCUUCUGCCUUGUAACACCCCUCUCUUGUUGUUCACUUCCAGCAGCACAUCGUGCAGAGAAAGCGACACUGCAGGGUGAACUCAAGUGGAGAAUCGCCCUACUAAACGCAGGUUGGGAGAAACCUGCAUAUUGUCGGGCUAACUGUGCUGUGAAAUGUGAUCUGUCACAACCCCACCGCCCCCGGGAGCCCCCUGCUCCUUUUCUUUGGAGAAGUGCUGAAUAACGAGAGACUAUUUCCCCUGGGCUUCACCUUCCCAGGGUGGUACCUGGGUCGUGCCUCACAGACAUUAUCUCAUCUAACCUUAAUAGGCCUUAAACUGCUCAGAUCUCCCCUCCCAACAGCAGGGGUUGCAUGUCAUACAGGUCUGAAAGCUGCAAUUCCCAUCUGUAAUAACAGGAAGAGCUAACAGCUGUUCGGUGUCUCCAUGGCUCUGGGGUGAGGCAGGCCCUGGCCCCACUGCAGGGGCAGGUGUUUUUAGAACCAGAUUGUGACGCUCACGGACAAGUAAAACUGCCUCCGCGGCAGCGUUUC